GAUUCCCGCCGCGCCCCGCGCCCGUCCCGCCGCCCCCGCCCGUGCAGCAGUCGAGAAAACUUUGCAAUGUGCGAAAGCACGACAAGGUUAAUCCGAGUGGUUUCUGCUAAAGAAACCUUUUGUCAGUCCUAGAAACACUAACGAAUAAGGGGUGGGCAAGUUCUGGUGUCAGCCGCCGCGGUAAAACCAGCACCUCAAGUGGUCAGGAUGAUUAUUGGGCCUAAAGCAUCCGUAGCCCGUUUUGUAAGUUUUCGGUUAAAUCCAUGCGCUUAACGUAUGGGCUGCCGGGAAUACUGCAUAACUAGGAAGUGGGAGAGGUAGACGGUACUCGGUAGGAAGGGGUAAAAUCCUUUGAUCUAUUGAUGACCACCUGUG
This 375-nucleotide ribosomal RNA is filed under the name uncultured archaeon. Its description in RNAcentral is "bacterial SSU rRNA". It matches the Rfam family "Archaeal small subunit ribosomal RNA", at positions 312 to 665 of the family's 1478-position model. The record is from RNAcentral.